GUAUUUUUAGCUAAAAGCAUAAAAGUUGGGCAUUAUUAACAAGCUGUAAUUCCCAGAACAGGAUAUGUCUUCAUUGCCUGUGGUAAAGAGUUUGGCUCUAGGGUUGGAGAGACCUAGGUUAAUGGGCCAGUUUUUUCCUUCUCCUAAGUGUGGAGAAUCUGAAAUGCUUGGAACUAGAAGUGUUUUAGACUUAGGAAUUUUAAAAUUUUGAAUAUCCUGGGGCUGAGAUCCAAGUGUAAACACAAAAUUUAUUUGCAUUUGAUACAUCCUUGUAUACAUAACUCAAGGUUGUUUUGUACAGUAACUUAUUUUGUUUUUUUCUUUUGAGAUGGGGCCUCUAUGUUGCCCAAGCUGAUUUUGAACUUGUGGGCUCAAGCAAUACUCCUGCCCCAUCCUUCCACAUAGUUGGAACUUCAGCUGUAUGCCACCAGGCCUGGAUUUUUAGAAUUUUAUUCUGCCACCUUAUUGUUAUUAUUAUUGUAGUGGGAUUGAACUCAGGGCACUUCACCACUGAACCACACCCCAGCCUGUUUUAGUUUUUGAGACAGGGUCCUGCUGAAUUGCUAGACCCUUGAUAUGUUGCUGAGGCUCCCUUGAACUUGCAAUCCUCCUAACUCGGCCUCCCAAGCAUUUGGGAUUACAGGUGUGCACCACCGUGCCUGGCUGGAAUUUUCCAUUUGUUGCAUGGAGUUAGAGACCAUCAGGGUUUGGAGUUUGGAUGUUUAGAGUACAGGUGCUCAACCUGUUCUUGUCUUCCACAGGCCGCUCCCCCCAUCCCCAUGCCUCAGUUUGAUCUUUUGUAAAGCAAGGGCAUGGAAAGGGUGCCUUGUGGGUAUGAAGCUCACAGAGGAUGAAGAAUCCAAAUGACAGGAACUCUGCAGCCCAUAGGGGAGGGAGGAGCCUUGGGCAAGUUUCCAUUUUGGGUGACAAGAUGCUCUUUCUAGGAUACUGCAUAGGGUCUGACGAGAGCAAGAGCUUAGGUCAGCAGUGGCCACAGAGAAACCAGAGCCACCAGAAGUGGUAUUGGACCCUCAUAAACACACCUCAGGUUGCUGAGCCUUGAGUAACAGGGCUGAUGCAGGCCCUCAGUAUGGUACCAGGACCAGGGUCCAUCAGAUGUGAGAUUCACUGUUCAUGCCACUAAGAAAAAUAAGGUCAGGGAGGGAGGAGUUCUUACUACAGAUAGGGCUGUUUUUUUUUUUUUCCUUCUUUUUCUUCCUGAGGCAGAGCCUGCACUGCCGCAGGUCCUCAGCACCGUGUCACCACACGGCUAUCAUGUCAAGGCCAUGGGAACCCUUUGUCUGUCUCUACAGGUUGGUCACGCUUUGACCAGGAGAGAGCAGAAGUACCCUGAUCCUCCUAGGUGUCAGGGACCUCUCCCCAUGCCUGGGUAAGGGACGGCAGAGUUGGGGGCAUCACAUUCUCCUCCACAAAACUCCCAACGGGUCCUCCCUUCCCUUGCACCAUCCAGGCCCCUGGUUGCUGGCUGGGGGGGGGGUAACUCGAUCUGGGUCAGAUGUUGCAGUAUGAGGUAGUGUCUAGCUGAGCAUCAUGGUAUUUUAUGAAGCCCGAAAUGUGAUCGGUACUGUUGUCACACUUUAGCAUCCCCAACAAUCCCCUUGCAAAUGAGUAAAACAGAGCCUCCCCAAAUGCCUUCCCCCUGACAUCAAGGAAAGCCCGUGGAACCCAGCCCGGGCCGAGCCAUUUGACCCCUGAAGGGCUGUGGAGCCUGGGGAAGGACGGGAGGUGCUUUUCCAGUGCACUGGGGAAUGUGCUGUUGGUCUUGUGUUCUCUGUGGCCUGUCUGUAAAGUCAGCACUCUCCUAAAAUGCAAACUCACCAGCACGUGGGGCCUGCUGAGCCUAAGGUCCUUCUAGUUACAUGAAAGCUAUGAGUCAGAGAUCUCCAAUCAGAUGCCAAUGGGCCAGGUAACAGGUGAAUCAAGCCCAGCAGAGACUGUGGGUACCUGCAAGUAGAUGCCCCACAGCUCAGCUCCAAAGGACAGCGCGGAUACAGGGAUGUGGGAAAGAGCGGGACAGACAGAGCUCCCCAAAGCCGACCUGUUGCCCAUCAUUCCAAAAACAUGUUUUGCAACCCAGGGCAGGCUAAAUGAGGAGCUCUCUGCUCCUCCCUGACUGAACUUACUACCAGCGUAAGUAUCCUUCUAGAGCUGCACUGCCCAUAGAAUUUUCUUUGAUGGUAGAAAUGAAUGUGUGAAGAAUCCAGUAUAGAACUUCCUGGGUACAGGUGGCCACUGAGCACUCAAGGAGGACUAAGGAAAGACAGGAGGCCAUGGGGCCCAUGGGUAGUGGAAACAGCAGGCCUGGGACCCAGUGUUCAGUCAGUGAUGGUCACAGACUUUGGGACCCAGAGGGUAGCCUCCAGAAGCUAACACUGGGAGAACACGGGGUUCUUGGAGACAAAGUCAGUAGAGCAUCCAAGCAGAGGGGACAGUGAGGCAAAGGCCUCCACCUCAUCAUGGCCAGGGCUGCCAUUUUUCCUGGAGGCUGGGAGGCUGGGGAGGCUAGGUUUGCACCUACAACACUCAGUGUCACACACAUCACCCGCAGUCCCUUCUUCCUUGCAAAACUGUCUCAAUUUGGAUGAUAAAUUUUCUGCUCGACCUCUCUCAGGGCCAACCAGCUGCCUAAUAGGAAACUAGAGAGAAAGAGAGAGGAGACCCCACAGGAACACCUCUUACCCCCAGUGGCAAAGCCCAGCCUCGGACUCCAGCAUGGGCUCCCGACCCAGCUCACCCACCCCCAUGGCUAGAGGAGUCAGCUCUGCAAGCCACCAUCACAUCAACCAGGCCUGUUUCUUCUUUCUCUUCUCCAAAUUCCCCAUAGGAUUGUGACCAGAUCCACGUUGAUGAUGUCUCAUCAGAUGACAAUGGGCAAGAUUUAAGAGUUUGAUCCACGUCCCUUUGGAGACUUCAUGAUAUUCGUUAGCUGCACCUACAACUUCUCCACCAAUGGCUUCCACAGUGCAGCCCCGGGGGCCGGCCUGUGCCUAGGCACCAGGGUGUAUGGCGGUGUGGACUGGAUGUGGAAUCUGGCCUUCCACUACCGGCGGGUGAAGGAGAUGUACAACACCUACUGGGACAACAUGGGCGGUGAGUGCAGGGACUUCCACAGAACGGACUGGGCAGUGGGAGAGCAGCGACAGUCCCCAGGACCAGCCGGUAGCAUUUGAUUCCCUGACUUUGAGGGGGAGGAAGCCUGGGACAGAGGGCACCUCCUGUCCCUGAACACAGGGCCCCCAGAGCAUAAGCUGGGCGUGGUAGAGUACCCCUAGCUGGACCUGAGGCUCACCAAGGUGCUCCCCAUGGCAGCAUUACUGAGCCCGGAGUUGGCUGGGUUUUUUGUCUCAUGAAUUCAAAGAAUGAGACUCGCAGAGUCCGAGGUGAAAGGCAGCUGUAGGAACUUACCAAGGCCAAGUGAAGUAAGCUCCAGAGGCAGGAGAGGACCCCAGAGGACUGGUCGGGCAUUUUCCCUUCCUUGGAAAGGCUGCGGACUCCAGGUCAUGUUUUUCCCGAUUUUAAAAUAAACAUUCCCCAAGUUUCUCAGCAAAUCCCUGCUGCUCAGGGGCCAGUCUCCUCCUCCUGAUCUCACCAGAAGCCUCCACCUGAGGACUCAUGAGAAAUGCAGGGUCUGUGCCCCCUCACACCUGCUGAUCAAAAACUCAAGAGCUGGGCCAGGGUCUGUUCUCCAGCAGGCAUCCAGGCAAUGCUGGGGCCCUGCGGCCUGAGGGCCAGGGCUGGGUCCAGAGCAGUGCAGAGCUGGACAGAGAUGCACAACCCCAGGCCCUGUCCCAGGCCACUAACUCAGAAUCUGUGUCUUUAAUAUGAUUCCCUCAGUAACAAUGGGGCACCAGGAGCCACUGGUUCCCAAACAAGUUUCCCUGUCUCCCUCACUCAAGAAUGUCCACAGCCAAUUCUCUGGGUUGGCUGAUUCUCUGGGUCUGGCUGCAGCUGCCUGAGGCUUAGGGUCCUCGGGUUGUCACAUGCAGCCUUUCCUUGCCACCUGAAGGAGGUGUCUGAAGGGGGCUGGAGGUGGGUUGCUGGGCAAAGGCCAGGUCCUGGGUCAGUAGUUCAAGGAUUCUCCAGGCCAGUGGUUCUCAAUGGGAGAACCUCAAGAGGUUGUAGGGUCUCCAGAUGGCCUGGCACCUGGAGGUGAACGAGGGUCUAAGACAGCAGGGCCGGGUCUGCCAUGUCCUGGGCCCUCCAUUCCCAGAACCAGGAAAGUCGGUUUUCAUCCCGGACAGGACCCGUCUCUGCCCCAUGCUGACACAUCCUAGCUGUGGGGCCUUCGACAGGAGGGAGCCGUGUGCUUGGGUAUGGAGACAGUGGAGGCCCUCUGCUCCCCCGCCACAUCAAGGCCCAGGAAAUGCCCUGGGCUUUGUCAGUCUGCUCUGUUCUCCCCAAGCUGGGGUGAGGUACCCUGGUGUCAACAGGGCACCACCGCUGGCAAGAGCCAGCCCUGCCCCCCAGCUACUUCAGCACCAGAGAAUGAGCCAGGUGCAGGACCCUGGCCUCCAGCCAGAGGCUAGCACAGACCCUAGGGUGCCCUGGGGGGGGUGCUCAGAAGGGGUGACUGCAGGACACAGGCUGGACAGGAGGCACUUGGGAGUCACAUCCCAGAGGCCGAGGGUGGACUUGGAGCCUGUGCCUGACAUUGUCCUCUCUUUGACAAUUCCAAGAAGUCACAUAGCACUUCCACCGCUCACCUGCCAAAACUUCCAUCACAGGAGCACACAUAGUUGAGCAGAAGUUGGCAAUGGAGACUUUUAGCCUAGAGAGCACCAGCCCCUUAAAAACCAAGGGUUUUAUUACAAAUGAGGAUUUUAAAAAUUUUUAAUAUUUACUAAAAAGAAGGAUGGAUGGUGGGAGGCCAAUCACUGUGUUUCCUCUACAAACAGCAAAUGAAAAAUCCCUGAGAACAUCGAUUCUUCUG
Molecule: non-coding RNA, 4951 nt
Organism: Ictidomys tridecemlineatus (thirteen-lined ground squirrel)
Lineage: Eukaryota; Metazoa; Chordata; Mammalia; Rodentia; Sciuridae
Source: RefSeq, a predicted model, not a curated record